AUGGACAUAAAGACCAGACUGCUGCUUACUUUAAUAUUCUGGGGAGGUGUUGAUGGUCAGACUCUGGUAGAAUUUGACCCAGCAGUCAAAAGGCCAGGAGAGUCCCACAGACUGACCUGUGCAGCCUAUGGAUUCACACUCUCAGCUACAACAUGCACUGGGUCAGACAGGCUCCUGGAAAAGGACUGGAAUGGGUUGCUGAAGUUACUGCUAGUGGUAGCAGCAAAUACUACUCUCAGUCAGUCCAAGGCCGCUUUACCAUCUCCAGAGACAACAGCAGACAGCAGGUGUAUCUGCAGAUGAACAGCCUGAAGACUGAAGAUUCUGCUGUUUAUUAUUGUGCUUGA
Non-coding RNA from Archocentrus centrarchus (flier cichlid), 347 nucleotides. NCBI's taxonomy places the organism in Eukaryota, Metazoa, Chordata, Actinopteri, Cichliformes, Cichlidae. The record is from the annotation of a RefSeq genome assembly.